RNAcentral lists this ribosomal RNA (253 nucleotides) under uncultured bacterium. RNAcentral describes it as "partial 16S ribosomal RNA". It matches the Rfam family "Bacterial small subunit ribosomal RNA", at positions 524 to 776 of the family's 1533-position model. The record is from RNAcentral.
UACGUAGGGCGCGAGCGUUAUCCGGAAUUAUUGGGCGUAAAGAGCUCGUAGGCGGUUUGUCACGUCUGCUGUGAAAACUGGAGGCUCAACCUCCAGCCUGCAGUGGGUACGGGCAGACUAGAGUGCGGUAGGGGAGAUUGGAAUUCCUGGUGUAGCGGUGGAAUGCGCAGAUAUCAGGAGGAACACCGAUGGCGAAGGCAGAUCUCUGGGCAGUAACUGACGCUGAGGAGCGAAAGCGUGGGGAGCGAACAGG